RNAcentral lists this unclassified non-coding RNA (256 nucleotides) under Hevea brasiliensis (rubber tree). Lineage: Eukaryota; Viridiplantae; Streptophyta; Magnoliopsida; Malpighiales; Euphorbiaceae. The record is from RNAcentral.
AAACCAAAAACAAAGAGAUCGAUCGAACUCUGAAACUCAAUGUUCCUCAAAUUGAGUGUACCCCAAGAGUUACUCCUUUAACUCUUGACUAAACAGAGGUGACUGCAGGUGCGCCAUUUUUGGACUGCACAGCCUCCAAUGUCUUGUAGAACUCCUCAGGAACAGGACCAGGUCGAUGCAAAGGAACAUGCUUCGGAACUGGCGCAUCAUUUUCUAUAACUUCGCACUCAUAGUCAUCAGGAACACCCCAAGGAUC